This 471-nucleotide ribosomal RNA is filed under the name uncultured bacterium. RNAcentral's name for it is "bacterial SSU rRNA". It matches the Rfam family "Bacterial small subunit ribosomal RNA", at positions 335 to 799 of the family's 1533-position model. The record is from RNAcentral.
ACUCCUACGGGAGGCAGCAGUGGGGAAUAUUGCACAAUGGGCGCAAGCCUGAUGCAGCCAUGCCGCGUGUGUGAAGAAGGCCUUCGGUUGUAAAGCACUUUCAGUCGUGAGGAAGGUAGUGUAGUUAAUAGCUGCAUUAUUUGACGUUAGCGACAGAAGAAGCACCGGCUAACUCCGUGCCAGCAGCCGCGGUAAUACGGAGGGUGCGAGCGUUAAUCGGAAUUACUGGGCGUAAAGCGCAUGCAGGUGGUUUGUUAAGUCAGAUGUGAAAGCCCGGGGCUCAACCUCGGAAUAGCAUUUGAAACUGGCAGACUAGAGUACUGUAGAGGGGGUAGAAUUUCAGGUGUAGCGGUGAAAUGCGUAGAGAUCUGAAGGAAUACCGGUGGCGAAGGCGGCCCCCUGGACAGAUACUGACACUCAGAUGCGAAAGCGUGGGGAGCAAACAGGAUUAGAUACCCUGGUAGGAUAGCG